Molecule: ribosomal RNA, 497 nt
Filed under: uncultured bacterium
Lineage: Bacteria
Description: partial 16S ribosomal RNA
Rfam family: Bacterial small subunit ribosomal RNA
Source: RNAcentral
GACGAACGCUGGCGGCGUGCCUAAUACAUGCAAGUAGAACGCUGAAGAGAGGAGCUUGCUCUUCUUGGAUGAGUUGCGAACGGGUGAGUAACGCGUAGGUAACCUGCCUUGUAGCGGGGGAUAACUAUUGGAAACGAUAGCUAAUACCGCAUAACAAUGGAUGACACAUGUCUUUUAUUUGAAAGGGGCAAUUGCUCCACUACAAGAUGGACCUGCGUUGUAUUAGCUAGUAGGUGAGGUAAUGGCUCACCUAGGCGACGAUACAUAGCCGACCUGAGAGGGUGGUCGGCCACACUGGGACUGAGACACGGCCCAGACUCCUACGGGAGGCAGCAGUAGGGAAUCUUCGGCAAUGGGGGCAACCCCGACCGAGCAACGCCGCGUGAGUGAAGAAGGUUUUCGGAUCGUAAAGCUCUGUUGUAAGUCAAGAACGGGUGUGAGAGUGGAAAGUUCACACUGUGACGGUAGCUUACCAGAAAGGGACGGCUAACUACGUG